Molecule: ribosomal RNA, 525 nt
Filed under: uncultured bacterium
Lineage: Bacteria
Description: partial 16S ribosomal RNA
Rfam family: Bacterial small subunit ribosomal RNA
Source: RNAcentral
ACUCAAAUGAAUAGACGGGGACUUGCACAAGUAGUGGAUUAUGUGGUUUAAUUCGACGAUAAACGAAGAACCUUACCAAGGUUAGAAAUCAACGUGAAAGCCCCAAGAAACUGGGGCCCUCGCAAGACUAGUUGACAGGUGAUGCAUGGCCGUCGUCAGUUCGUGGUUUGAAUUGUUCCCUUAAGUGGGGUAACGAACGCAACCCUCGUCGUGUGUUAUAAGUGUCACACGAGACUGCCCCGACCCAAGGAAAUAAUUAUAAUUAAUUAUAAUUGUAUCUUUCGGUCGGGGAGGAAGGAGAGGAUGACGCCAGGUCAGCAUGUCCCUUGAUACCUUGGGCCACACACAUAAUACAAUCGCAAUUACAACGGGCAGCGACGGGGUAACCCUGAGCGAAUCCUAAUAAAAAUUGCGCCAGUUCGGAUUGGGGGCUGCAACUCGACCCCAUGAAGUUGGAAUUACUAGUAAUCGCGGGUCAGAUAUACCGCGGUGAAUACGUUCUCAAGUCUUGUACACACCGCCCGU